GACGAACGCUGGCGGCGUGCCUAAUACAUGCAAGUCGAGCGGUCCCUUCGGGGAUAGCGGCGGACGGGUGAGUAACACGUAGGCAACCUGCCUGUAAGACCGGAAUAACUAUCGGAAACGAUAGCUAAGACCGGAUAGCUGGUUUUCUCGCAUGAGAGAAUCAUGAAACACGGGGCAACCUGUGGCUUACAGAUGGGCCUGCGGCGCAUUAGCUAGUUGGUAGGGUAACGGCCUACCAAGGCGACGAUGCGUAGCCAACCUGAGAGGGUGACCGGCCACACUGGGACUGAGACACGGCCCAGACUCCUACGGGAGGCAGCAGUAGGGAAUCUUCCGCAGUGGACGCAAGUCUGACGGAGCAACGCCGCGUGAGUGAUGAAGGUCUUCGGAUCGUAAAGCUCUGUUGCCCUAGACGAACAGCAAGGAGAGUAACUGCUCUUUGUGUGACGGUAUAGGAGAAGAAAGCCCCGGCUAACUACGUGCCAGCAGCCGCGGUAA
This 498-nucleotide ribosomal RNA is filed under the name uncultured bacterium. RNAcentral's name for it is "partial 16S ribosomal RNA". It matches the Rfam family "Bacterial small subunit ribosomal RNA", at positions 28 to 523 of the family's 1533-position model. The record is from RNAcentral.